RNAcentral lists this ribosomal RNA (499 nucleotides) under uncultured bacterium. Its description in RNAcentral is "partial 16S ribosomal RNA". It matches the Rfam family "Bacterial small subunit ribosomal RNA", at positions 28 to 507 of the family's 1533-position model. The record is from RNAcentral.
GACGAACGCUGGCGGCGUGCUUAACACAUGCAAGUCGAACGGGCCCGCUCUCUUUUUUGGGGGUGGGUUGAGUGGCGAACGGGUGAGUAUCACGUGAGUAACCUGCCCCCUGCUCCUGGAUAACUGCUUGAAAGGGCGGCUAAUACGGGGUGUGCCGGCUGGUCCGCAUGGGCCUGGUCGGGAUAGUUUCAUCUUCGGGUGUUUCGGUGGGGGAUGGGCUCGCGGCCUAUCAGCUUGUUGGUGGGGUGAUGGCCCACCAAGGCGGUGACGGGUAGCCGGCCUGAGAGGGUGGGCGGCCACACUGGGACUGAGACACGGCCCAGACUCCUGCGGGAGGCAGCAGUGGGGGGUAUUGUACAAUGGGCGGAAGCCUGAUGCAGCGACGUCGCGUGAGGGAUGGAGGCCUUCGGGUUGUGAACCUCUUUCUCCGGUGGUGAAGGCCCUGUCCGUUGCGGCGGGGUUGACGGUAGCCGGGUAUGAAGCGCCGGCUAACUACGUG